RNAcentral lists this ribosomal RNA (935 nucleotides) under uncultured bacterium. RNAcentral's name for it is "bacterial SSU rRNA". It matches the Rfam family "Bacterial small subunit ribosomal RNA", at positions 28 to 975 of the family's 1533-position model. The record is from RNAcentral.
GACGAACGCUGGCGGCGUGCUUAACCCUUUCAAGUCAUGGGGGUCCGCAAGGACAACCGGCGAACGGGUGCGUAACACGUGAGCGACCUGCCUGAGUGCGGGGGAUAGCCGGCCCAACGGCCGGGUAAUACCGCAUACGCUUUUUCGAGGGCAUCCUUGGGAAAGGAAACCUCCGGGGCACUCAGAGGGGCUCGCGGCCUAUCAGCUAGUUGGCGGGGUAAUGGCCCACCAAGGCGACGACGGGUAGCUGGUCUGAGAGGAUGGCCAGCCACAUUGGGACUGAGAGACGGCCCAGACUCCUACGGGAGGCAGCAGUGGGGAAUCUUGCGCAAUGGCCGAAAGGCUGACGCAGCGACGCCGCGUGUGGGAGGAAGCUCUUCGGGGUGUAAACCACUGUUGCCCGGGACGAACGAUGAGUUUUUACUCAUGUGACGGUACCGGGUGAGGAAGCACCGGCUAACUCUGUGCCAGCAGCCGCGGUAAUACAGAGGGUGCGAGCGUUGUCCGGAAUCACUGGGCGUAAAGGGCGCGUAGGCGGCUCGAUAAGGUUGCGGUGAAAGCCCGGGGCUCAACCCCGGGUCGGCCGUGGCAACUGUCGAGCUGGAGCACUGUAGAGGCAGGUGGAAUUCCGGGUGUAGCGGUGGAAUGCGUAGAGAUCCGGAAGAACACCGGUGGCGAAGGCGGCCUGCUGGGCAGUGGCUGACGCUGAGGCGCGACAGCGUGGGGAGCAAACAGGAUUAGAUACCCUGGUAGUCCACGCCGUAAACGAUGGCACUAGGUGCUUGAGGGAGCGACCCUCCGAGUGCCGGCGCUAACGCAUUAAGUGCCCCGCCUGGGGAGUACGGCCGCAAGGCUGAAACUCAAAGGAAUUGACGGGGGCCCGCACAAGCGGUGGAGCAUGUGGUUUAAUUCGACGCAACGCGCAGAACCUUACC